UUAUAAACUUGAUAUCAGUGAUGAGUUUAAGCGAGUAAUUGCAUCUUUACGAGCCAAUGAUGGCAAAAUACGUACGUGUUGUGUUGAACAAGGCUGACCAAGUCAAUACCCAACAGUUGAUGAGAGUUUAUGGGGCACUAAUGUGGUCGCUUGGAAAAGUUCUGAAUACUCCUGAAGUUUCUCGUGUUUAUAUUGGCUCAUUCAAUGACAAACAUAUUGAUGAAGAAACUUCCAGCCCAAUGUUCUGUGAUCUUUUUGAAGAAGAAUAGAAUGACCUUCUCAUGGACUUGCUUGAUAUUCCUAAGAAAGCUUGUGAUCGUCGAAUCAAUGAGUUUGUGAAGCGUGCUAGAGCUGCUAAGAUCCAUGCCUACAUAAUAAGGAGAUGCCUUCUCUAAUGGGCAAGACUGAGACUCAAAAACGCCUUAUCAAUAAUCUUGAAGAUGAAUUUGCAAAUUCAGAAGUGAAACAGAGUGGUGUGAUGAAGGCAGAAGGGUGUUCGUUGCAAGAAGUGCUGUGGUAACGCGUACUUGUCUUAUGUAAAUAUAUUUUAUUACAUGCUUGUUAACAUAACAUUUCGAGCUUUGCUGAAAAGCUUGCUUGGAUUUUAAGCAUGAUUGCCAGUUUUUGAAACGGAUGA
Long non-coding RNA from Populus trichocarpa (black cottonwood), 637 nucleotides. RefSeq lists it as uncharacterized. The transcript has 4 exons. The record is from RefSeq and is a predicted model, not a curated record. Lineage: Eukaryota; Viridiplantae; Streptophyta; Magnoliopsida; Malpighiales; Salicaceae.